CCUACGGGUGGCAGCAGUGGGGAAUAUUGCACAAUGGGGGAAACCCUGAUGCAGCGACGCCGCGUGAGUGAAGAAGUAAUUCGUUAUGUAAAGCUCUAUCAGCAGGGAAGAAAAUGACGGUACCUGAGUAAGAAGCCCCGGCUAACUACGUGCCAGCAGCCGCGGUAAUACGUAGGGGGCAAGCGUUAUCCGGAUUUACUGGGUGUAAAGGGAGCGUAGACGGCAGUGCAAGUCUGGAGUGAAAGGCGGGGGCUCAACCCCCGGACUGCUCUGGAAACUGUACGGCUGGAGUGCAGGAGAGGUAAGUGGAAUUCCUAGUGUAGCGGUGAAAUGCGUAGAUAUUAGGAGGAACACCAGUGGCGAAGGCGACGAUCUGGCCUGCAACUGACGCUCAGUCCCGAAAGCGUGGGGAGCAAAUAGGAGUAGAUACCCGAGUAGUC
Molecule: ribosomal RNA, 440 nt
Filed under: uncultured bacterium
Lineage: Bacteria
Description: partial 16S ribosomal RNA
Rfam family: Bacterial small subunit ribosomal RNA
Source: RNAcentral